GAUGAACGCUGGCGGCGUGCUUAACACAUGCAAGUCGAACGAAGCAAUCUAACGGAAGUUUUCGGAUGGAAGCUGGAUUGACUGAGUGGCGGACGGGUGAGUAACGCGUGGGUAACCUGCCUCACACUGGGGGACAACAGUUAGAAAUGACUGCUAAUACCGCAUAAGCGCACAGGACCGCAUGGUCUAGUGUGAAAAAAUCCGGUGGCAUGUGAGAUGGACUCGCGUUUGAUUAGCAAGUUGGCGGGGUAACGGCCUACCAAGGCGACGAUCAAUCGCCGAACUCAGAGGGGGACGGACCACAUUGGCACUGAGACACGUCCCAAACUCCUACGGGAGGCAGCCGUGGGGAAUAUUGCACAAUGGGGGAAACCCUGAUGCAGCGACGCCGCGUGAGUGAAAAAGUAUUUCGGUAUGUAAAGCUCUAUCAGCAGGGAAGAAAAUGACGGUACCUGACUAAGAAGCCCCGGCUAACUACGUGCCAGCCGCCGCGGUAA
Molecule: ribosomal RNA, 497 nt
Filed under: uncultured bacterium
Lineage: Bacteria
Description: partial 16S ribosomal RNA
Rfam family: Bacterial small subunit ribosomal RNA
Source: RNAcentral